This 465-nucleotide ribosomal RNA is filed under the name uncultured bacterium. RNAcentral's name for it is "partial 16S ribosomal RNA". It matches the Rfam family "Bacterial small subunit ribosomal RNA", at positions 338 to 795 of the family's 1533-position model. The record is from RNAcentral.
CCUACGGGUGGCAGCAGUAGGGAAUCUUCCACAAUGGGCGAAAGCCUGAUGGAGCAACGCCGCGUGGGUGAAGAAGGUCUUCGGAUCGUAAAACCCUGUUGUGAGAGAAGAAAGUGCGUGAGAGUAACUGUUCACGUUUCGACGGUAUCUAACCAGAAAGCCACGGCUAACUACGUGCCAGCAGCCGCGGUAAUACGUAGGUGGCAAGCGUUAUCCGGAUUUAUUGGGCGUAAAGGGAACGCAGGCGGUCUUGUAAGUCUGAUGUGAAAGCCUUCGGCUUAACCGGAGUAGUGCAUUGGAAACUGGGCGACUUGAGUGCGGGAGAGGGGAGUGGAACUCCAGGUGUAGGGGUGAAAUGCGUAGAUAUAUGGAGGAACACCAGUGGCGAAGGCGACUACCUGGACUGUAACUGACGCUGAGGUUCGAAAGCGUGGGGAGCAAACAGGAUUAGAUACCCUUGUAGUC